RNAcentral lists this transfer RNA (82 nucleotides) under Gekko intermedium. RNAcentral's name for it is "tRNA-Asx". Lineage: Eukaryota; Metazoa; Chordata; Lepidosauria; Squamata; Gekkonidae. The record is from RNAcentral.
CUAGAUCGGCAGGCCUCGGUCCUACAAAAGUUUAGUUAACAACUAAAUACCCAAUCCAGCGGGCUUCAACCUAGGAGUAUGA